RNAcentral lists this ribosomal RNA (682 nucleotides) under uncultured Caulobacteraceae bacterium. Its description in RNAcentral is "bacterial SSU rRNA". It matches the Rfam family "Bacterial small subunit ribosomal RNA", at positions 95 to 798 of the family's 1533-position model. Lineage: Bacteria; Pseudomonadati; Pseudomonadota; Alphaproteobacteria; Caulobacterales; Caulobacteraceae. The record is from RNAcentral.
GUGGCGGACGGGUGAGGAAUACAUCGGAAUCUACCUUCUGGUGGGGGAUAACCAGCCGAAAGGCUGGCUAAUACCGCAUGAGACCGAGAGGUGAAAGCGGGGGACCGAAAGGCCUCGCGCGAGAAGAUGAGCCGAUGUCCGAUUAGCUAGUUGGCGGGGUAAGAGCCCACCAAGGCGACGAUCGGUAGCUGGUCUGAGAGGAUGAUCAGCCACAUUGGGACUGAGACACGGCCCAAACUCCUACGGGAGGCAGCAGUGGGGAAUCUUGCGCAAUGGGCGAAAGCCUGACGCAGCCAUGCCGCGUGAAUGAUGAAGGUCUUAGGAUUGUAAAAUUCUUUCACCGGGGACGAUAAUGACGGUACCCGGAGAAGAAGCCCCGGCUAACUUCGUGCCAGCAGCCGCGGUAAUACGAAGGGGGCUAGCGUUGUUCGGAAUCACUGGGCGUAAAGGGAGCGUAGGCGGACAUUUAAGUCAGGGGUGAAAUCCCGGGGCUCAACCUCGGAACUGCCUUUGAUACUGGGUGUCUUGAGUGUGAUAGAGGUAUGUGGAACUCCGAGUGUAGAGGUGAAAUUCGUAGAUAUUCGGAAGAACACCAGUGGCGAAGGCGACAUACUGGAUCAUUACUGACGCUGAGGCUCGAAAGCGUGGGGAGCAAACAGGAUUAGAUACCCUGGUAGUCCAC